ACGUGGAGCGAUUACGUGAUACAUUCUAGAGGUAUUAACAUGUAAAAUAGCAUUUACUGCCAGUAGUUUUGGAUUAAUUGUAAAUUAUUGUACAACAACAGCUGAUGGAAUGAGUUAUACUUGUAAAUAAUUUUACUUCUUUUUCCAACGUAAUGACAACGUGUUUUCACAUUGGACCAGAGCCAAAAACAUUCGUAUAAAACCGCGGCUGUGGUUCUUAUACUUGAACAAUUGAGCUGUUUGGUUUAUACAUGAAAGGGUUUCUACUGAGUAUAUAAAAGAGUAUUACCAUGGCCCGAUGGCGACUUGUGACGGUCAUGUGCCUACUGUGCAUUUUAGUUGGCUCGAUUCAGAGCCAGGGGGUACUGGAUCCUUGCGUGGAAUGCUUUAUCAUCAAUGGACAAACAUUCUGUACACGUGUGGCCUGUCUAACUGUGUGCUUAGGAUUCGCACCAACAAGUAGCUGCUGUCCUAACUGCAGCCCAGAUCCUGAAGAAAUGAGAAAAAAAUAGCAUACAGAUAAUUGAUUUUGAUUCAGUAAACAAAGAUGCUCUAUAUGCAGAACGUUGUUAAAAUACUUCAAUUGUAUUAUGCGUUUCAAUAAUGCAAAUGUUUACUACAAAUGUUUCUUCAAACAUUUAAAAUCAAUGGGAAUCUGGUUGCAGACGUUCUUUUUGAAUGUGUUCGUUUAAUUUUUAUAAGUCCAUUGAAGUUUACUAACAAAAUAAAGCCAUGAUUGUAUUGUCAACAGGUUUUGGUAUUGUUUGGUCGGCCUUUAGUUUUUAUAAUUAAUCUUAA
Molecule: long non-coding RNA, 798 nt
Organism: Dreissena polymorpha
Lineage: Eukaryota; Metazoa; Mollusca; Bivalvia; Myida; Dreissenidae
Exons: 3
Source: RefSeq, a predicted model, not a curated record